This 797-nucleotide ribosomal RNA is filed under the name uncultured bacterium. Its description in RNAcentral is "bacterial SSU rRNA". It matches the Rfam family "Bacterial small subunit ribosomal RNA", at positions 8 to 796 of the family's 1533-position model. The record is from RNAcentral.
AGGGUUUGAUCCUGGCUCAGAUUGAACGCUGGCGGCAGGCCUAACACAUGCAAGUCGAGCGGUAACAGAACUAGCUUGCUAGUUGCUGACGAGCGGCGGACGGGUGAGUAACGCGUAGGAAUCUACCCAGUAGCGGGGGAUAGCCCAGAGAAAUUUGGAUUAAUACCGCAUACGCCCUUCGGGGGAAAGCAGGGGAUCUUCGGACCUUGUGCUAUUGGAUGAGCCUGCGUGAGAUUAGCUAGUUGGUGAGGUAAGAGCUCACCAAGGCGACGAUCUCUAGCUGGUCUGAGAGGAUGAUCAGCCACACUGGAACUGAGACACGGUCCAGACUCCUACGGGAGGCAGCAGUGGGGAAUAUUGCACAAUGGGCGCAAGCCUGAUGCAGCCAUGCCGCGUGUGUGAAGAAGGCCUUAGGGUUGUAAAGCACUUUCAGUCGUGAGGAAAGGUGUGUAGUUAAUAACUGCAUACUGUGACGUUAGCGACAGAAGAAGGACCGGCUAACUCCGUGCCAGCAGCCGCGGUAAUACGGAGGGUCCGAGCGUUAAUCGGAAUUACUGGGCGCAAAGCGCGCGUAGGUGGAUUGGUCAGUCAGAUGUGAAAGCCCUGGGCUCAACCUGGGAACUGCAUCUGAUACUGCCAGUCUAGAAUACAGUAGAGGGUAGUGGAAUUUCCUGUGUAGCGGUGAAAUGCGUAGAUAUAGGAAGGAACACCAGUGGCGAAGGCGACUACCUGGACUGAUAUUGACACUGAGGUGCGAAAGCGUGGGGGAGCAACAGGAUUAGAUACCCUGGUAGUCC